RNAcentral lists this transfer RNA (78 nucleotides) under Vibrio parahaemolyticus. RNAcentral describes it as "tRNA-Asp". It matches the Rfam family "tRNA". Rfam says of the family: Transfer RNA (tRNA) molecules are approximately 80 nucleotides in length. The record is from RNAcentral. Lineage: Bacteria; Pseudomonadati; Pseudomonadota; Gammaproteobacteria; Vibrionales; Vibrionaceae.
GGAGUCGGUAGUUCAGUUGGUUAGAAUACCGGCCUGUCACGCCGGGGGUCGCGGGUUCGAGUCCCGUCCGCUCCGCCA